Oryctolagus cuniculus (rabbit) is the source of this 261-nucleotide non-coding RNA. Lineage: Eukaryota; Metazoa; Chordata; Mammalia; Lagomorpha; Leporidae. The record is from RefSeq and is a predicted model, not a curated record.
AUUUUGAAUUGAGGACCAGGGAUUGUAUUGUCUUCCCCAGGCCAAGCAUCCAUCAUCUGUACACCAUGAGUGUUCAAAGAGUGGUUGGAUGGAUGGGUGAAAACACGGAAAGACGGAUAGGUGGAUGAAUAGAAGGAUAGGUGGGUGCAUGGAUGGAUGAGUGGAUGGAUGGGUAGGUGUAUGGAUGGGUGUGGAUGAAUGGACAGAAGGCCCUCCCUUCAGGAAGUGGUUGUUAACACUUCCUUAUCUGGUUGUCUGUUG